Molecule: unclassified non-coding RNA, 518 nt
Filed under: Hevea brasiliensis (rubber tree)
Lineage: Eukaryota; Viridiplantae; Streptophyta; Magnoliopsida; Malpighiales; Euphorbiaceae
Source: RNAcentral
AGGGGAAACAGAGAGCAAACAACAUUCUUCAUCUAAUUCAGCUUUCCAGAUGACCAAUCUUUCUUCUCAAGUCUCUAAUUCUGCCGGAAAGCCUCCAUUGUCUUCUUCUUCACUGAAACGAAAGUGCAGUUUAUCGGAAAAUGCCGUAUCUGGAAAGUGCAGUGGAUCUUCCGGCCGAUGCCAUUGUUCCAAGAGAAGAAAGUUAAGACUAAAGAGGGUAGUUCGAGUACCGGCAAUAAGCAUGAAACUGUCAGAUAUCCCACCGGAUGAUUACUCAUGGAGAAAAUAUGGACAGAAGCCAAUCAAAGGAUCUCCACAUCCAAGGGGAUAUUACAAGUGUAGUAGUGUAAGAGGGUGUCCAGCACGUAAACAUGUUGAAAGAGCAUUGGAUGAUCCAACUAUGCUGAUUGUUACCUAUGAAGGAGAACAUAAUCAUUCACUUUCUGUUGCUGAAACAAGUAGUCUCAUUUUAGAGUCUUCUUAAGUAAUUAGGAAUCAAAAAUUGUGUAGCUUCUCUG